Monopterus albus (swamp eel) is the source of this 276-nucleotide long non-coding RNA. RefSeq lists it as uncharacterized. Lineage: Eukaryota; Metazoa; Chordata; Actinopteri; Synbranchiformes; Synbranchidae. The transcript is spliced from 3 exons. The record is from RefSeq and is a predicted model, not a curated record.
UCGAGGAGGGUGUUUUUAAAAUGUUUCUGCAAUUGAAGCCUUUCCGGAUCACUGGAAUGAAAGCAUACACACAUGAAGUGGAUCAGAGGGAGGUUGUUCUGGACAUGUAUAUAAGUUACGAAGGUGACGUGGACAUCAACGCUGUGGUGAAGCCACCGAUCACAGCUGGUGUCAAACAAAUCAAACUCAAGGGGAUGCUGAGGGUUAUUUUAGAUCCUCUCAUUGGUCAAGCACCACUGGUGGGAGGUGUCACCUUUUUUUUUUCAUACAUUGUCC